RNAcentral lists this ribosomal RNA (2148 nucleotides) under Triticum aestivum (bread wheat). RNAcentral describes it as "partial small subunit ribosomal RNA". The record is from RNAcentral. Lineage: Eukaryota; Viridiplantae; Streptophyta; Magnoliopsida; Poales; Poaceae.
AUGGUACCUCAGCCACCGUACAUUGGGCAGAGAUUUGAAUCGUUCGAACAAGCAAAGGAAUACUACCAGACAUAUGCAAAGUUCCAUGGAUUUUCGGUCAACACCGAGUACCAUAGGAAAAUUAAGAAAACUAACGAGUACAGCAGAGGUGAGAUGAGGUGCCACAAGGCACGGAGGAACAAGAAGGGGAAAUGUGUUGCGCCUGUCAUUACGGAACGAAAGAGAGGUAUCAUUCUCAAGACUGAGUGCCCUGUCCGGUGUAAGCUAAACGUAGAUGGAGCACAGUGGGUGGUCAAUGAAUAUUUUGACGAGCACAACCACCAACUCAUAAAGAAGUUCGACCUGGUAAAAUUUCUGACCGCCCACAAAGGGUUCACCCCCGUCGAAAGGCAAUUCGUAAAGCUGCUACAUGAUUGUAACGUCGGUUCAUCAAGAAUGGUACAGAUACUAUCUCUCAUCCAUAGCAAAAAGGGGACUCUGAGUAGCAUGCCGUACAUAUCAGCUGACGUCACAAACCUACAGGCCAAGUACCGUAGAGAGAGCAAUUUGGUAGACAUAGAGGCCACAAUGGCCUACUUCGAUGAAAAAACGAAGGAAGAUCCAGAUUUCUUCUACAGGAUAAGGUUGGAUGAUGAGGACCGUGUCAGGAACAUGUAUUGGGUGGAUGGUGCUGCAAGGAGAGCCUAUAAACAUUUCCGAGAUUGCAUUUCAUUCGACGCGAUGUACCUCACCAAUAUGUACAAGAUGCCAUGCGCUCCGUUCAUAGGAAUAAAUAACCACAAUCAGUCGUUUCAGUUCGGCUGCGGGCUCGUCCGGAACAAAGACACGGAUGGGUACGUUUGGCUGUUCAAGACCUUCUUGGAGUGCAUGGAUGGACUUGCUCCGAUGAACAUAAUAACAGACCAAGAUUUCAGCAUGCGUGCAGGCAUAGAGGAGGUCUUUCCGUUGGCAGUGCACAGGCAUUGCAGGUGGCACAUUAUAAAGAAGGCUGAGGAGACACUAGGACCGUACUUUGCUGACCGUCCAGAGCUGCACAAGGCAUUCGAGCUGUGCAUGGACCACAGCUUGACGGUGGAGGAGUUUGAAAGGAGUUGGAUGGCCAUGACUAAAACACAUCAAGUCCAAGACAACGAGACUCUUGUUAGCCUGUGGGAGAAGCAAAUGUACUGGGUGCCGGCCUACUUCAUGCAGUGCUUCUUCCCCUUUCUGCAGACUACGCAGCGCACGGAGGGGUUCAAUGCUGUUUUGAAGCGGUACGUCAGCCCUGGCAAUUCAUUGCUACAGUUUGCCAAGUAGUACACAGCUUUGCAAUAAAAAAUUCUGGGAUCUGAGCUACAGCAAGAAGUGACCACAGCACUAAAGCAGCCAAAAUUGCUAACGUAUUUACUGAUAGAGAGGCAAAUGAGCAAGAUAUACACCAACAAGAUCUUUAACAAAUUCCAGGAAGAAAUAAAGCGUGCCAGCAUGUUCACGGCUUUCCAAGUGGACGAACAUACGUUCAAGGGCAUGUCAGAUUUAGAACCUGAAGACCCGGAAGGAAGGAACUACUUCGUCAAAGCCUCAAUAGGCGAAGGCGAGUACUACUGCCAAUGCUGCAAGUUCGAACGGGACGGCAUUGCGUGCUGUCACAUACUAAAAGUAAUGGACAUGAACGCUGUGACACGGAUGCCCCGUCAUUUCAUAAGGCGGCGAUGGACUUGGGACGCUGACGACGCGUUGGCGCCGCAGACAACACAUGCAGUUCUGGCUAUGCUUGACGAGAGACCUGAGUCAACCAUGGAAGUCGUGAGGCACGUUGUGCUGACAAAGAACUAUGCUGAGCUAAUUGAUGAAGUGUGCAAGAGUGAUGAGACAGCGAGAGUAGCAGAAAAACACAGGAAGGCACUCGAAAGAGAGCUUGAUGAGAUCAAGAAGAGAAAAGCUGAGGAAGCCUUACACCGGUUCCCCCGCACAUCAAGUGUGCCUUCAUCCACGGGGCCAUCAUCUGAAAACUCGGAGAUAGGAUCUGGAACAACAAGCACACAGACCCAGGUCAGGAACCCACCCCGUUCUAUCACAAAGGGUCGUCCGAGAGAGAGAAGGUACAAGUCGGGAUUAGAGAUCCAAGCAAAACACAAGAAAACAAAGAAAGGGGCGGGCAAUCCAUGA